Parelaphostrongylus tenuis is the source of this 74-nucleotide non-coding RNA. The record is from the annotation of a GenBank genome assembly. Lineage: Eukaryota; Metazoa; Nematoda; Chromadorea; Rhabditida; Metastrongylidae.
GCCUUGGUGGUGUAGUGAAAGUAGCACGCGUCCGCGGUAUGAAUGAAGCGCGGGUUCAAUUCCCGCGUGAGGCA